GAUGAACGCUGGCGGCGUGCCUAAUACAUGCAAGUCGAGCGAACAGACGAGGAGCUUGCUCCUCUGACGUUAGCGGCGGACGGGCGAGUAACACGUGGAUAACCUACCUAUAAGACUGGGAUAAUUUCGGGAAACCGGAGCUAAUACCGGAUAAUAUAUUGUACCGCAUGGUUCAAUAGUGAAAGACGGCUUUGCUGUUACUUAUAGACGGAUCCGCGCCGCAUUAGAUAGUUGGUAAGGUAACGGCUUACCAAGGCAACGAUGCGUAGCCGACCUGAGAGGGUGAUCGGCCACACUGGAACUGAGACACGGUCCAGACUCCUACGGGAGGCAGCAGUAGGGAAUCUUCCGCAAUGGGCGAAAGCCUGACGGAGCAACGCCGCGUGAGUGAUGAAGGUCUUCGGAUCGUAAAACUCUGUUAUUAGGGAAGAACAAAUGUGUAAGUAACUAUGCACGUCUUGACGGUACCUGAUCAGAAAGCCACGGCUAACUACGUG
RNAcentral lists this ribosomal RNA (497 nucleotides) under uncultured bacterium. Its description in RNAcentral is "partial 16S ribosomal RNA". It matches the Rfam family "Bacterial small subunit ribosomal RNA", at positions 28 to 507 of the family's 1533-position model. The record is from RNAcentral.